This 504-nucleotide ribosomal RNA is filed under the name uncultured bacterium. RNAcentral describes it as "partial 16S ribosomal RNA". It matches the Rfam family "Bacterial small subunit ribosomal RNA", at positions 899 to 1397 of the family's 1533-position model. The record is from RNAcentral.
ACUCAAAUGAAUUGACGGGGGCUCACACAAGCGGUGGAGUAUGUGGCUUAAUUCGAGGCUACGCGCAAAACCUUAUCCCGGGCUUGACAUGCACGGAUUAGCCGGCGGAAACGUCGGCGAGGCCGCAAGGUACAACGUGCACAGGUGCUGCAUGGCUGUCGUCAGCUCGUGCCGUGAGGUGUUGGGUUAAGUCCCGUAACGAGCGCAACCCCUGCCCCUAGUUGCCAGCGGGUCAUGCCGGGAACUCUAGGGGGACCGCCGGCGUCAAGCCGGAGGAAGGCGGGGAUGACGUCAAGUCCUCAUGGCCCUUAUGCCCGGGGCUGCACACGUACUACAAUGGGGCGGACAGAGCGACGCUAGCUCGCAAGAGUACGCCAAUCGCAAAAACCGCCCCUCAGUUCGGAUUGUGGGCUGCAACCCGCCCACAUGAAGCUGGAAUCGCUAGUAAUCGCGGAUCAGCAUGCCGCGGUGAAUGGGUUCCUGAGCCUUGUACACACCGCCCGU